CCCCCAAAAAAAUUCUUAUCAAGAAUUAUAAAUAUUGAAAAACAAUGAAACUGAGAUAGUCCAUCGCUAUGAAGCUGUUUUAGAUUCUUGUUGAUUUUGGUUAGGGUCUGGCGCUGUCCAAUACUGCUUAACUGCAAAAAGAACCUUCUCCCUCGCAUGAGCAGUCCUUUCAUUUUCUGCAAUUAUGACAUCCCAUUGCAUCCCAUUUACGAUGCUCUUGACUUUUAGCAAGAUAUCUACAUCAUCUCGAAUUAUUACACUACCUUCUGGCCU
RNAcentral lists this unclassified non-coding RNA (273 nucleotides) under Hevea brasiliensis (rubber tree). Lineage: Eukaryota; Viridiplantae; Streptophyta; Magnoliopsida; Malpighiales; Euphorbiaceae. The record is from RNAcentral.